UCAUGUUUUAUUUAAGUAUAUAUAUUUAACAUAAGUUCAGCAAAUGAUGGAAAUAUUAUGGCCAUUCUGACGGUCAGUCAUACAUUCUCCUUUUUGAGCAGAUUAUAGCAUAUAUGUUUUGCUAAAGCUUAAUCAUUAUUUUGUGCAUUUAGAUCAUUUGAUUUUAUGACUUUUCCUUAUUGUUUUUGUUUGGUAGUGAUGGUAACGGUUUAUUGAAGGGUAAAUAACAAGGCAGAAAACUUUCUAUGCUUUUCAGACAAAUGUAAUAAUAUUUAUUCAGACCAAACAUGCUAAAUUCUAUAUGUUUGUCAGAAUUUAUAAGGAAAGCAAGUAUUAGCAGUAUUUUACUUUUCAUUUCGAAAAUACAAAGAUAAACAUAGCUUCAAUACUACAAUACAAAUAAAAUCUUGAGAAUUUACAUUUGUUGAUAUAUACUGAUAUUCCAGAGUGGGGAAUUUUGUCUGCAUAAGAUAUGAGUACUUAUUUCAUGGUAGCAAAGUUACUUUUAAUGUCUUCAGAACUUAAAUUAGAAACCAAAAUUAGUCAUUUAAUCUCCUCUUCAAUGAUUUUUGUAAAGCCUACAUGGUAGAUAGUUGUAUGGUAAGAACUUUGUCUUUGUUGUCAGCUUGUAAAUCAGGGUUUUUCAUGGCUUACUUCCCUUAAAUCUUUCUUGUUGUCAGUCUGUAGAUCAUGGUUUUUCAUGGCUAACUUUUCUUUGAUCUUAAAUGUUAACCUUUAGAUCAUGGUUUUAAAUUGCUUACUGUAGAAUUUGGACACCUAUCUGUCUUUAUUGCAGUGAUUUUUCAUGCAUGCUUAGUGUGUAGACAGAAUAUAAUUUUGAUUUAAGCUCUUGGAUGUGCAAGGUCCAAUUAGUAGAAAAAUAACAAAACCAAUAUGUUUAAUAAUGUAAAUAGCUUAUAAUGGGUUGUUGUUGUUUACUUUGAAUUUCUAACAACAGUGAAUUGGCUACAUCAGAAAUAUUUGUGUGUAAGUUAACAUUGAUUGAUGUUUGCUAUAGGCAGGGUAACAUCUUUUGAUGUUUGCUAUAGGCAGGGUAACAUUACUUGAUUUUUGCUUUAGGCAGGAUAAGAUGGCACUACUCAUAUUUAAAUGGUCUUCAAUAAUGAUGUGGCAAUAAUUGAAUUUUAUUGAAUAAUCUGACAAAGUUGUUUAGAAAGCAAAACUUGUCUCCUUAACUUGACUUCAAUCUUUGUGAAAUAACUUAACCAUUUUGUAAAAACUUAUUCAUGUUGUAAGUUCCAAUGAUUUUUGGUCGUCAUUCCCUAUCUAUAGUGUGUCUGUACAUUGUAAUAAAUGUAACAUACUAAGUAUGUAUUACAUAUAGAUGGGCCAUUGUCAAUAUAGAGAAUGGUCAUUUAUUAGAUCUGAGUUCUAUAGUCUCAGAUAAUUGUACUUCUUAUGUUGAAGUCAAUAAUUGGUUUUGAUUUUAGACAAAAGUCUUAAGCCAAUGUUAUAAUUUACCUGCUGAGGAACUUGUUCUCAACAGUGAUUAUAUCGUAUGUGGUUAUAUUUACUCCUAUUUAUGGAAAACCACCACAGUAAUUCCUACCUCAUUUUGUGUUGUUUGUUUGUAGGAUUGAGCAUAAUACACAUAUUUUUGUGAGUAUAAAGGAUUUAUGAUUCCUAUUUAAUAAGACUAGUAGUCAGAUUAAAUUUUUGAUCCACAGAAAAAUGGAUAUAGAGAUUAUAAGAGGCGCUAUUGCUAAACCAAAUUGAAUAAACUUAAAUGAUUUUUGAAGAAUUGGGUUUUAUGCAUAUAUUUGUAAUGAUAAUUUUCUGUCUACUUUUGAAUACUAUGCUACCUAAAAUAGUUUUAGCAUGGAGUCAUAAGUAUUUUUGAAUUCAUAAAAAAGCAAAGGUUUUUUGUUAUGAACAAUAAAUAUUUUUGGAUAAUAGUUUUGUAAACCUUUAUCCUGUGUGUUAUUAUGUUGUAAAACAUUUACUUAUUGUUACAGUUUUAUGAAACAUUUUAUACAAUAAUGUGCAAUGAUAAACUAGUGAAACCAUUUGUUUAAUUGGUUGUUGAUUAAUCAAAACCUAGAUAAGGAGGUUAUAACCUCUGUCCAAAGAUUGACAUAUUUUAGUCAGAAUAUUUGUUUAAUCUUUUUGUAACAUGUAAAUGCAUUUAAUGCACUUGUUAUAUUUUAACAUUUAUUGUUAAAUGAAAUGUUUGGUUAUUAUAAAUAACCUGUACACAUUAUGUACAAUUGACGUUUAAGUCAACUUAUAUGUCCAUGAGGGCAUGAAUUGUUAAAGUAUUACUGAUGGUUAAUUGGACAGGUUAACCUAUCAGAACACUAUUUGUAACCAUUUAAUGUAUGCACAAAUUAAGUUGUUACAUUAUUGAAGUUAAAUUUCUUCACUUGUUACAUUAGAUUAUUACAGUGUCUUUCACACCAUUUCUGAUGAUAAUAAACAUACUGACCAUACAUGUCUUGUUGUAGUCUUUCACGCCA
This 2477-nucleotide long non-coding RNA is filed under the name Mytilus galloprovincialis (Mediterranean mussel). Lineage: Eukaryota; Metazoa; Mollusca; Bivalvia; Mytilida; Mytilidae. The record is from RNAcentral.